Molecule: ribosomal RNA, 253 nt
Filed under: uncultured bacterium
Lineage: Bacteria
Description: partial 16S ribosomal RNA
Rfam family: Bacterial small subunit ribosomal RNA
Source: RNAcentral
UACGGGGGGGGCAAGCGUUGUUCGGAAUUACUGGGCGUAAAGGGCUCGUAGGCGGCCCGGUAAGUCCGCUGUGAAAGUCAAAGGCUCAACCUUUGAAUGUCAGCGGAUACUGCCGGGCUAGAGUCCGGGAGAGGCGAGUGGAACUCCUGGUGUAGCGGUGGAAUGCGCAGAUAUCAGGAAGAACACCAACGGCGAAGGCAGCUCGCUGGGACGGAACCGACGCUGAGGCGCGAAAGCGUGGGGAGCGAACAGG